This 1263-nucleotide long non-coding RNA is filed under the name Mustela putorius furo (domestic ferret). RNAcentral describes it as "lncRNA (ENSMPUG00000030605.1)". Lineage: Eukaryota; Metazoa; Chordata; Mammalia; Carnivora; Mustelidae. The record is from RNAcentral.
UCGUUUUUUUUUUUUUUUUUUUAGGCUGCUUGGCAUUAGGGGGAUUGGCACACACGAUUUCUUUGGCCUGCCUUCCUCUCAUCUGCGAGCCAAGAUCCCCGAAUUACAUGCAGUCACGAUUCGUCAGAAACCUUUUUUGAGCAUGCGCUGUAUGCUGGGCAUGGAACUAUGUCAUGAGCUUACAAAAAGACGUUCACGGCCUCACGAUCAACCACUCCGCAUGGGCCUGGCAAGAAGGAACAAGCUGCGAGGGGAUGCCCCAUACCUGGCCUGUGGACCACCGACAGGAAUGACCAGAACCCAGGAAAGCCAGUUGCUAUUGUCAGCAAGGACCCUGGCCGUGGAUCCUGGUGCCCUAGCUAGACCCAGCUGUGAUGCCUCCGCUCUAACCCGUCGCUCUGAAAAUACAGCUGGACAUAGAACCAGAUUCUGGGGUGGUUAUAUUUUGGGGUCGGUCGGGAAAUCCAUGCAAACCCCUUUUCCCUGCUACGUGUGAACUUUGGGGAGCACCAGUUAUGUUUCUGCAGGGGCCAGCAGAAAGCCCAAAAGCUCCACACCGCCAAGGCAGCUGUCUCAAACAUACACGUUAUUAGGCUGAUUGAAAUAAUCAGAAAACAGCUCCAGAAUGCUGGCUUGGAGAAAGGCAGGCAAUUUCUGCUUGGCAGACAGUGAUGUCAGCCGCCGCAGCGGGGGGAAAUCGAAUGCUGUCUUUCUUGCUCUCUUUCUUCUUUUCCCUUCUAAAAACUUCCCUGCAUCAUUUGAUUUUUCCCAUCAGCUGGACCAGGAGGGCCACGGGCAUCACUCCCUGAUGGGCUCUGUGGCCUUUGGGCAUGCUAGGUGACCAGGUGGCAGGAGAGAUGCAUCAGGACAUCCCUGGAAAUGUGUUGCCUCCAGACUGUAGGAAACUGCUUUGUACUGGAGCCCAUGUUUUCCUCCAACUCGCUCUCCUGGCCUCUCCCUUACUCAAGUUGUCAUCAAGCGAGUAAGAAAAGGUCCAAAAGCCUGAAAACCUGACCUCAUGAGGCAGAACCAACCGUCCCCAUCAAAGCAGACAGAUGCAGCAGAAGCAGAGGACCCGGGAAAGAUCAUUCCUGUCUCCCUGUGACGGAAUUGAGUUAGUGUUGGUCACAUUAGUGUCCAAUGACAGUGCCCAAGGGGCCAACACUGGUCAGAGCAGAGGUGGGGGUGGGGGCUGAGGCCAAGGCAGCACCCCCCCCCCACCCGACACGGUGACCUGAACAACACUCAGGGUUCCUUAAUCUC